This 951-nucleotide long non-coding RNA is filed under the name Hordeum vulgare. RNAcentral describes it as "long non-coding RNA (HVUL_LNC011029)". The record is from RNAcentral. Lineage: Eukaryota; Viridiplantae; Streptophyta; Magnoliopsida; Poales; Poaceae.
CGAGGAACACUUGCAUAUUUCCUGCUUCUGAAGAAAUGCACAUUCAGAAGCGGCUUUGUGCAAGAUUUGGUUACUGCACGCAUGGUUAAAAAAGGAAGUGACGAGGAAUACUUGCAGAUUUCCUGCUUCAGAAGAAAUACAGUCGGAGCCCGAGAAGAGAACAGGUGAUCAGACAUCGUAUGGAUGUGAUGGCCUAAAACUGCUUCAGACAUCACACUGGAUUAUAUGCCUUGACUUGGGAUGCUAUAAGUAGUAAUAGUGUGACUAAGUAGGAGGAAGCUGUGUGAUGACCUAAAACAGGAAACUGGUUUCUGACUCUUUCUGCAAACGGGGGCACUUCGAGUCUGUUGGAUACCUAGUAUACAGACCAAGCAAACCUGGGGUGCUCAGAAGCAGCCCCUGGACUGUGAAUGUGAAGAGCCCAUGGUUCCAAUCUUUCUAUCAUCCAGUAUCAGUACUUCUCAUUCUCGUUACACUGCGUAUCGUACGUAAUUCCAUGUAUACAUCACAACAGUUAAAAACAAAGAAGAGGCGAAGCACUUAUGAGUUAUGAUGAUCACUUACAUGAGAAGCACAAGGAUGCAUGAAUGGCCCCCUUGCUUCUGAAGGAAUGAGCUUGAUGGAGAGAAGAGUCUUCAGAUAGUAUGUAGGAGUAUGUGCGUGUAAUGUCCUAAAACAGACUUGAGAGACAUCACAACACACUGCAGCUGACAAGAGCAAAUGAGGUAUACAUGACUAGAUUUGGGGAUGCCCUAAAUAGAAGUGCUAUAACCUAAAACGGAAAAGGGGACUCUGAUCCUUUCUGCUAAUGGACACAGUUCGAUUCUACUUAUAAUUAUACUAGUGUUUACACAUUGGAUACUAGUGUUACAGGAGCAGCAAACCCGGGGUGCUCACAAGAAGGCUUGGGGCUGAAAAGGAGCCCAUGGUUUCAUUAAUUUCAUCGCCUUG